This 109-nucleotide ribosomal RNA is filed under the name Octodon degus (degu). The record is from RNAcentral. Lineage: Eukaryota; Metazoa; Chordata; Mammalia; Rodentia; Octodontidae.
GUCUACGGCCAUACCACCCUGAAUGUGCCUGAUCUCGUCUGAUUCUUGGAAGCUAAGCAGGGCCGGGCCUGGUUAGUACUUGGAUAGGAAAUAUUUGGUACAGUGUCUU